GGAGAGGUGGCCGAGUGGCUUAAGGCGCAUGCUUGGAGUGCAUGUGGGGUUUUCCCCUCCAGGGUUCGAAUCCCUGCCUCUCCGCCA
RNAcentral lists this transfer RNA (87 nucleotides) under Candidatus Omnitrophota bacterium. RNAcentral describes it as "tRNA-Ser". It matches the Rfam family "tRNA". Rfam says of the family: Transfer RNA (tRNA) molecules are approximately 80 nucleotides in length. The record is from RNAcentral. Lineage: Bacteria; Pseudomonadati; Candidatus Omnitrophota.